Molecule: long non-coding RNA, 335 nt
Filed under: Numida meleagris (helmeted guineafowl)
Lineage: Eukaryota; Metazoa; Chordata; Aves; Galliformes; Numididae
Description: lncRNA (ENSNMEG00000015328.1)
Source: RNAcentral
UCUGCGACAUGUGAAAUGGAGCAGAAGGCAAUAGCAGUAUAAAUAUUGAUAGUGACAAAUUCUUCAGGGAGAGAAUGACCUGGAAAAAAAAAACAAAAGCAAAUGAAAAAACAACCCUAUCAGAGGGCACUUUUAGUCUGUGAAGUGAGCUGGCAGUCCAGUUAGAUUUUCCAGCAGAGACGGAUUGUAUUUAAAUUUCUUACUGUCAAAUUCAGCUUGAAACAAGAAAGGUAUGGAAGCAUCAGGUCUCAUCUGGAGGAGACUGAUAUCAGCAAGGCUACAAGGCACUGCCAUUGAUGAAGGUGCUUGUAUACAAAGCAAUCUAAGCAUGGUAU